CUUGAUGCCAUCAUUGGCAAAGCAGUGGAAC
Molecule: non-coding RNA, 31 nt
Filed under: Rattus norvegicus (Norway rat)
Lineage: Eukaryota; Metazoa; Chordata; Mammalia; Rodentia; Muridae
Source: RNAcentral